This is a long non-coding RNA of Canis lupus familiaris (dog), 2707 nucleotides long. RefSeq lists it as uncharacterized. The transcript is spliced from 4 exons. Lineage: Eukaryota; Metazoa; Chordata; Mammalia; Carnivora; Canidae. The record is from RefSeq and is a predicted model, not a curated record.
UUACCCUAACCCUAAACCUGAAACCUAACCCUAACUCUCACCCUAACCCCUAAUCCUAAACCUAACCCUGAAGCUUAACGCAACCCUAACCCUGAGGCCUAACCCUAACCUUAAACAUAGAUCAAUUUGGAAAUUAGAUAUGACAUGCCAUUGAGUUGGAUGUAUUGUGUUGGUCAGGAACCAGUCAUGAAGCACCUCGGAGUGACACAGGGAUAUUUAUGCCACAGGUCAUUAUCGCUGGGAGCCAUGGUGAAGGCUGUGACCCCCAGAGCCCAGAAAGAGGCACCUCUGUCUCAUUCAAAAUAGAACAGGAAAAAUUGGAUGGUUUGACUACAGAAGAUCACCAUGUCUGCAUCUUAGAGCAUUCCCACCCCAUCAUGGUGCCCCCAUUGAAAUGAGGCCGGAGGUCAAGUGAAAACAGUGGAACCCAGGCCACUUUCACUGGUACUCCAUGCCACAUCUCACCUAUUCAUGUCAAUCCACCAUCCUGAAAAUUUGCGCCUCAGAUACACAGGGCACCAGCUCACGUGCAUUGCAGAUAUCAUUCAUAGACCCCCAAUGAUGUCCCUAGGAAGAUGAUUCUGACUAUCCGAUCACUGUGCAGGUUGGGAUCCUGUCGAUAUGAGAGACACGGUGGGUUAGAUAGGUCACAGAUCUGGAAAGGCAAGCACAGAAAAUGAGGUCUGAAUUCAGCUCCGUGUCCAGAAAAGUAGGACCUUCCUUGCAUUUUCAGAGAGUUCUAGCUAUGGCAUUUUUGGCUGCGGAUGUAAAGUUUACAAGAUAACGAGGGGCAAGCAGUCAUCUGCCAAGAAGGGGCUCUGGAUAGGUCUGACUGAAGGGAGGGGCCCACGGGCUGGAAUCUUGAAAAUGUGACAUCACUUCCUUGGGGACAAGCGUGUAACGGAUUUAGAACUCUGGUAACCAGGAAGCUGCAUUGAACAAUGUCCCUCUUUCCAGCUCACUUAACUAGAGAAAAAUUUGUUCUGUUGCUGUUGCCCUACUUUCAGUGGCUCUUGGCUUAGGAGAGUCCAGAAAGAGAGAUGUUCAUGCCACUAUGGACGUCAGUUCGGCCCUCUUUCAAAAGCUUCUGGUUAUGUGCGGGAGACUUCAACAGAGCUGCACCCAGGAGAUCUUGGAGGAGAUGUUCUGUGGCUUCAACUCUUCUAACUCCCUAGACAAUGAUCAGGUGUACCAGGCAAACAAGGCACAGUGCUGUUCUGAGGUGAGAAUGGGAAGAGGGUUCUCCACAGCAAGAUGGCCACCACACAAACAUGGAGAUAAACCUGGGGCCCUCCCGUAGUGUUUCCACACGAGUGUCGCACAGGCCCAAUGCAAAGAGACCUGAACCUCCACUGCUAACCUCCGGCUACAUCUGAGGUGAUAAGGCACUGUUCCCCUAGGUUGGAAUGGUGCAGAAUAGAUUUCAUGCUUUUGAGGAGUGGGGGUGGUUUGUUUUUCACUCAGAGCACUGAGUGUCUUUGCGUUUCACUACCAUUUUCCUUAUUUCACCCACGCGCCCCAGGUAUCCUGUGUAGAACGCAGCUCCACUGUCGUUGCACAACGUCUGCAGGCCUCACAAAAAAUCACACUAAAGUGGGUGUUUUCAGACAAAAAAAAGGGUGGGAUGAAGCCAUUUCAUAUAUUUAUCCCUAAGGUGUCAUGUGCCAGAACACAUCAGAUAAUUACAGGCCCAACGGGUCAUGAACUGUGUCCGUAGAGGUACUCGUAGUACUCCAUCAAUGGGGCCGUCUGCCACAGUGAUUCAGCCAUUGAAGGCCCUUGGCACUUGACAUGAUGGCAUUCUCUUGCCAUGUCUGCCGUGCUGCAAGGAGCACCGUGGGUGUCCCCACAGACUGUUUAAGUUGCUAGAUCUGCCAUAUCCUGGAUGUCCAGUUUGGGUGGAUGCCCUCUGAUGCCGCCUGACCCAAGUGGCUGGCUCUGUCUUUUUUGUGGAGAUCCACACAGGAAAUCUUGGAUGAGUUGCUCCAAGCGUUCAAUUACUCCAUCUACCCCCGAGAAGCACAGGUGCAUCAGGCCACCGACUACAAGAAUGGCCAGUCUGGGCUGAGAACAAGUCCCAUUCAUGGUGAAAGUCAGGACCCAGAGAUGAUCAGGUUGGAUGUUUAUGGAUGACUCCAUGGAAUACUCGUCUUCAUAAAAGCUCUGAGUUGAGAGAAUGCGAGUGUUGCUCAGCUAUUCAUGUGUGUGGAAGUUUCCAUUGCUCUACCCUGCGUCCCAACCAACCAAUGGUACUUUGAAGCCUAAAACCUUUUUCUCUGUGGGUCCUGAAAUUCUUUUUCCUGUACAACUUCCUGAGGGGAUGGGUGUCUCUGGGCUGAGCGCCAGACUCUGAUCUUCCCAGUGGCUUGUGGCUUGGAAGCUGACUACAGUGCCCCUCCUUGUGCCUCUGGUGUGGAAAGGAAUCAUCCACCCUGACCACAGAUGAGGCCUGGAGCAUGAGGACUCACCGCAAAGGCAGAAUGGAUACUUUUGUACAGUCCCUGCUGCGAUCCUUCCAGAAGAGGAGCCUCUCAGAAAACGCAGUCGUUUUCCCUGUCUACCAGGUGUUCAGCGAAGCCCAAAGGGUCCUGGGCCAGCAGCUCCACAGGAAAAGAAGAGAAAGAUACUGGAACGCUUUGGACUCCUUUGAUAUUCUACAUUAACAUUUCCUCUCCAAGUUUUAUAUAUUAAGUAAAAAUAAUUGCCA